Long non-coding RNA from Rattus norvegicus (Norway rat), 1368 nucleotides. RefSeq lists it as uncharacterized. The record is from RefSeq and is a predicted model, not a curated record. Lineage: Eukaryota; Metazoa; Chordata; Mammalia; Rodentia; Muridae.
GGCUCUGUUGAAACUCUCUUUUUCUCCUUAUAAUAAUAAUUUCCAUGUGAGAUUGUUCAGCAAAUAAUGGUGCUUGCUGCGCAAGCCUGGAGGUCUGAUAAGCCAUUCACUGAUAACCAUGAAAAUGUGAAAAGAGAGAGCCAUCAACUUCAUCAACUGUCCUCUGAUCUCUACACUGCUGUGGCACAGUGUCCAUCACCCCAAAACACUACAAAGAAGAAUGAAAGAACGUUACAGUUACAUAGGAAUAGUUUCAGAGAGGUCGUGUAAUUAUGACAUCAUCUCUGAAAUCUUUUCUUUGAUGGUCAAAGUUCUGUAUAAUUAUAACUCAGUGGUAAAUCCACUGCUUUGGGCUCAAAGCCCAAUUCCAGAACCCUUUUAUUUUCAUCGUCCCACCUUUGAGAAAACUCUUCUUUUAGGGGUUUGGGUUUUGGAUCUGAGAGAAACUGUCAUGGGUUAAUUAUAUUCAAAGCCACCCUCUUGACUUCUAUUUCAGCUGUGACAUUGGCCUUCACACUUGGGUUAACUUGGAUUCUCUCUUGAUGGAGAGUGAGAAGAAGUUUGUGUGUUUUCUUUGCCUGGGCAGCAAUCUGUAUUUGAUAUAAGACUGUAAAAUUCACAGAGCAGAAAGACCUUCAACACAAUAUGACCACUGUGGGACUCACUCCUUCCACGCUGAAAACUACAAAACCUCUUCACCAUAGCUUCUAACACUUUUUCCAGUAAAAAUCAAAGCAACAGAACUAUAAGGCGAAUGACAAUCUCCAAGAAGAACACAAGGCAUGACAAAAGCCUUGGACUGCAGCCUGGUUUUCUAACUCUGGAUGCCUUCAAAGCACCGAAUGAACACAGAAGCUAUGCAUUCACAAGGAAGAAGGCCCCGGCCACCCAUGAGCAGGACUCUCGCCAUCCAUAAGCAAUACUGUCACCACCUUUGACGGGGUCACCAGCUACUAAUGAGCAGGACUCAGCAGGACCCCAGUCAUCAUUCUCUAGAUAAAGAUGAGAAGAAGAAAUUAAUCUGGAUGGAUGUUUAAAUCCUGGAGCUAUCAGCUUACAGAGAAUCUGAUUUCAAUAUAGAAGUAUCCAUCUGAUAAUGCCAUCUUGGGUUUUUACAAGACUAUGGGCUUGGCUUUCCAGAGCUGUGUCUAUGCAGCUUGUUCUCCAACUCUGUUUCUUACGGUAAAAUGGGAAAGUUAUUCCAGUAUUGUGGGUGAAGCUUGAAAUCUUCAAGAUGGACGAAGAAAAAUAAACAAAAAAAAAGCAAAACAAACAAAAAAAACUGUUGGGCAAGCAUAAAAUCUCAUUUGAACCCCUCCAUCUUACCUCUGUGGAUGAACUAACAACAGAAUAAAUCAAUUAUCAUGA